GGGAUUGUGGCUCAGAGGUAGAGUGCUUGCCUACUAGCACGCAUGAGGCACUGGGUUCAACUCUCAGCACCA
Molecule: transfer RNA, 72 nt
Filed under: Ictidomys tridecemlineatus (thirteen-lined ground squirrel)
Lineage: Eukaryota; Metazoa; Chordata; Mammalia; Rodentia; Sciuridae
Description: Spermophilus tridecemlineatus (thirteen-lined ground squirrel) tRNA
Rfam family: tRNA
About the family: Transfer RNA (tRNA) molecules are approximately 80 nucleotides in length. Their secondary structure includes four short double-helical elements and three loops (D, anti-codon, and T loops).
Source: Rfam by way of RNAcentral